GGGCGGCUCCAGCCCCGCCCUCUGACAGCCCUGGCGGCCAUUUGGCAGUUCUGCCUGCCCCCCGCGCCACAAGCUGGCUGAGGCCUUGGGCUGUCCCCAGCACGGCUGCCAGUGGUGUCGGGCGGCAUCUAGAGCCAAGAGGCCUUUCUUCUUUUUUGUGCUGAAGGAAACUUUGUGCUGUCUGGAGCGAGCAGUGCCACUUUUCUCCGCAUUCCGGGGCUGUCAUGGGUGUCACAGUACCUGGGCUGGGCACCUUCUUUGCUGUUAAACAGGAGCAGCCCAUGGCAGGCGUUAAGCUCCUUGACGCAAAGAAGCCCGUCUUCCAGGUUUCGGAGCACUUUGCCAAUGUUCAUGGGCUCCCUUACAAGAAAGAAACUUUUCCUGGAACCACAGGGUUUUCCCCAGGAAGAAGGCAGCUCAUCCAGCAGCGUGGACAGGGAGGCUGCAGAUGAGGGGUACAGAGCGCCUCCCCAGACACCUGGAGGUCAAGAGUCAAAGCCAUCAGCAUGUCCCAGCCCCAGUGAGCACAGCACUGCGGUGCUGGUUGAGAGCCAGUGACGUGCACGACAUGCCUCCAGUGUCUCUGAGGAAGAGCUGGAUGAAACAGCCGAGAUUGUUGUUGCUGCAGUGCUACUCCAUUCUGUAGCCAUCAUGCAGGGAGCCACGAGCAAGGAUCCAACUGCUCCCUUGGCCACAUGGGCCAGGGUGCCUCCUCCCAUCCCAGAGCCUGUUGACUGUACAGCAGUUGACGAAACCGGAGCAGUGGCUUCUCCCUUGGCUACGGUUCCUGGGCACCAGGUUGCUGCCGAGCAGAGAGGCCAAGCGCAGUCUUCCUGCACCAAAGAUACACCAGCAGACAAGCCAGCAACGUGCCAGAAACAAGAGCCGCCCCAGGGACUUUUGGAU
This is a non-coding RNA of Anas platyrhynchos (mallard), 906 nucleotides long. NCBI's taxonomy places the organism in Eukaryota, Metazoa, Chordata, Aves, Anseriformes, Anatidae. The record is from RefSeq and is a predicted model, not a curated record.